GGUCUUCGGACUGGGCGGCCAGCGAAAGUGAUAAGUAUCCCACCUGGGGAGUACGUUCGCAAGAAUGAAACUCAAAGGAAUUGACGGGGGCCCGCACAAGCGGUGGAGCAUGUGGUUUAAUUCGAUGAUACGCGAGGAACCUUACCAGGGCUUAAAUGUAAGUUGCAUAGAGUGGAGACAUUCUUUUCUUCGGACCACUUACAAGGUGCUGCAUGGUUGUCGUCAGCUCGUGCCGUGAGGUGUCAGGUUAAGUCCUAUAACGAGCGCAACCCCUACCGUUAGUUGCCAGCAUGUCAAGGUGGGGACUCUAACGGGACUGCCGGUGCAAACCGUGAGGAAGGUGGGGAUGACGUCAAAUCAUCACGGCCCUUACGUCCUGGGCUACACACGUGCUACAAUGGCCGGUACAGCGGGAAGCCACUGCGCAAGCAGGAGCGGAUCCACAAAACCGGUCACAGUUCGGAUCGGGGUCUGCAACUCGACCCCGUGAAGCUGGAAUCGCUAGUAAUCGGAUAUCAGCCAUGAUCCGGUGAAUACGUUCCCGGGCCUUGUACACACCGCCCGUCAAGCCAUGGAAGCCGGGGGUGCCUGAAGUCCGUCACCGUAAGGAGCGGCCUAGGGCAAAAUUGGUAACUAGGGCUAAGUCGUAACAAGGUAGCCG
RNAcentral lists this ribosomal RNA (661 nucleotides) under uncultured bacterium. RNAcentral's name for it is "bacterial SSU rRNA". It matches the Rfam family "Bacterial small subunit ribosomal RNA", at positions 830 to 1502 of the family's 1533-position model. The record is from RNAcentral.